UUUUUAUAGUGCUAAAAAUUUUAAUUAAUUUCGAAGAUAGGUAUAUUAUUUUUAGAAUUAAUAUUAUAGGGUGAAAUUUAAUUAUUAAUUAAAAUAUUUUUAUUGUGUUCGGUAAAUUGACUAAUAAACUAGGAUUAGAUACCCUACUAUUAAAACUUAAAUAACUUAAUUUUAUGAUUAAUAGUUAAGUUCUUUAAAGUAAAAGAAUUUGGCGGUAUUUUAUUCUUUCCAGAGGAACCUGUUCUAUAAUUGAUAAUCCACGAUUAAAUCAAUUUAUUUUAUGUUUACAUAUCGUUGUUUAAAGUAUUCUAAAAGGUUAUAUUUUUCAAUUAUUUUUUAAUUUAAAUCAGAUCAAGGUGUAGCUUAUAAGUAAAAAGUAAUGGGUUACAUUUAUAUAAAUAUUAAAUUUAAAAUUUUAAAUUUUAAUGAAAUUGGAUUUGGAAGUAAAUAUAUAUAUAUAUAUAUAUUGAUGAAGCUCUAAAAU
This 484-nucleotide ribosomal RNA is filed under the name Rhodimitidium sp. Its description in RNAcentral is "partial 12S small subunit ribosomal RNA". The record is from RNAcentral. Lineage: Eukaryota; Metazoa; Arthropoda; Insecta; Coleoptera; Chrysomelidae.